This 465-nucleotide ribosomal RNA is filed under the name uncultured bacterium. RNAcentral describes it as "partial 16S ribosomal RNA". It matches the Rfam family "Bacterial small subunit ribosomal RNA", at positions 338 to 795 of the family's 1533-position model. The record is from RNAcentral.
CCUACGGGAGGCAGCAGUAGGGAAUCUUCCACAAUGGGCGAAAGCCUGAUGGAGCAACGCCGCGUGGGUGAAGAAGGUCUUCGGAUCGUAAAACCCUGUUGUUAGAGAAGAAAGUGCGUGAGAGUAACUGUUCACGUUUCGACGGUAUCUAACCAGAAAGCCACGGCUAACUACGUGCCAGCAGCCGCGGUAAUACGUAGGUGGCAAGCGUUAUCCGGAUUGAUUGGGCGUAAAGGGAACGCAGGCGGUCUUUUAAGUCUGAUGUGAAAGCCUUCGGCUUAACCGGGGUAGUGCAUUGGAUACUGGGAAACUUGAGUGCAGAAGAGGAGAGUGGAACGCCAUGUGUAGCGGUGAAAUGCGUAGAGAUAUGGAAGAACACCAGUGGCGAAAGCGGCUCUCUGGUCUGUAACUGACGCUGAGGUUCGAAAGCGUGGGUAGCAAACAGGAUUAGAUACCCUUGUAGUC